CCUACGGGAGGCAGCAGUGAGGAAUAUUGGUCAAUGGACGAGAGUCUGAACCAGCCAAGUAGCGUGAAGGAUGACUGCCCUAUGGGUUGUAAACUUCUUUUAUAUGGGAAUAAAAUGUUCCACGUGUGGGAUUUUGUAUGUACCAUAUGAAUAAGGAUCGGCUAACUCCGUGCCAGCAGCCGCGGUAAUACGGAGGAUCCGAGCGUUAUCCGGAUUUAUUGGGUUUAAAGGGAGCGUAGAUGGGUUGUUAAGUCAGUUGUGAAAGUUUGCGGCUCAACCGUAAAAUUGCAAUUGAAACUGGCAGUCUUGAGUACAGUAGAGGUAGGCGGAAUUCGUGGUGUAGCGGUGAAAUGCUUAGAUAUCACGAAGAACCCCGAUUGCGAAGGCAGUUCACUAAACUGCGACUGACACUGAGGCUCGAAAGUGUGGGUAUCAAACAGGAUUAGAUACCCCAGUAGUC
This 460-nucleotide ribosomal RNA is filed under the name uncultured bacterium. RNAcentral describes it as "partial 16S ribosomal RNA". It matches the Rfam family "Bacterial small subunit ribosomal RNA", at positions 338 to 795 of the family's 1533-position model. The record is from RNAcentral.